Polypterus senegalus (gray bichir) is the source of this 546-nucleotide long non-coding RNA. RefSeq lists it as uncharacterized. The transcript has 3 exons. NCBI's taxonomy places the organism in Eukaryota, Metazoa, Chordata, Cladistia, Polypteriformes, Polypteridae. The record is from RefSeq and is a predicted model, not a curated record.
CAUGGAUCAGAUGAUCACUUGCUGGCUGUUGUAUCUGAAAAGGUGUUAUCCAAAUGGUUAAAAAUGAUGAAGAUCCUAAAGGUCACCAGGUAAUGACCUCUAUACAGUAGAAGAUGAGGAGCUGACAGAUGGCCUCUAAAACUACCUGAUGAAGUGCUGUCAAGAGCUGUAGGCACUUUUGAAAAGAUCAACAGAGUUUUCAUCAUUCUGGAUGUGCUGAUGCCAGAGGCUCAUUUGGCUUCAGUGAAUCUCUGACGAGUACAGAAAGUAUCUCCAUGAGUAAGAAGCAGAAGGUCUGUUCAUUGAUGGACCAGCAGAUGUGAGUAAAGAGUUUGACACACUUGUGGUUCAACUGUUAACAGUAUGAGGACAGACCACGUCACUGAGGCUUUUCAACUUGGGAUUCCAUCUCAGCGCCUUCUCUAAUAAACAUGUCACUUGCUUUAUUGGUCUUUUAACUUUUUUUUAUUUGAGUGUUUGACUGUGCAUAAUAGAGUUGUGUAUAUUUAACGAUUGAUGUAAAUAAUAAAGGACACUGUUGAUUAA